CAAAAUUUCUUCUCUCUCUUUCUUAACCUCUUCUUAGUUUACAUGGUCUAAUGAGUGUUGGUUCUAAACGAUCCUAGCUCAAUAGUCUUUCAAAUAUUCUUCUUGUUUCUCUCUCUUGAUAUUUUUUUGGUUGCGUGGUAUCAAGAGUCUAUAAUCCCAACCAACCUAGAUUAUAAGCCUCUCAAAAUAAAAUCGCGUUGAAAGUUCUUAGGAGAAAGCAAAAUGAACAUGAAGUUUAAUUUUUAUCUUGAGGAGCUUUUGUCACCCCCUUUCGUGUUGUCCAAGUGAACCUCUAUGCAAAUUCUAUCAUUUGACUCUUCUGCUCUUAACAGAAUUUUAUUCCCCUUGGCCUCUCCUCCUCAACAUCAAGAAUAGGCGGGGGUAAGUUGAGGUCUAUACCAUCCUUGGUUUUAUGUGACAUAAGGAAUUAAUAUGAAAACGAGGCAUUGUACCUGCGUUCACUAUGAGUAGAUUGAGUUAACAUAAUCGAGCAUGUUUUGAUUAAUUAAACUUCUUAUAAUCAUUUUGUCAUCACAUUUAUUAGCAAAGUAUGUAUGUAAUUUAUGACUCCUCGACUUAACCUUUCCUAUAUAUCACCUUGUUUCUAGCCAGGAUCCUCAUAUACAGAUGAUGUUGUUUCAGUUUGUGGUAAUAUUUCAUGUAACUAGUGCAUCUGUGAACAUCUUACCGGAGAUGACAAGCAUUUCCUUUCUCCAAAUUUCAAUGGUAAUUGAACACAACAUCCGUGUUUUCCAAGGCCACAUAAUAUUGAACCAUUCUUUUUCCAACCAAGAUUGGUAAAACUCACCUAGGAGCUCUGAUUCUGAUGGGGAUGAAUUGGAGCCUUGGUAUAUAUAUCAAAGUUAGUCAUAUGACUCUUCAAAAUUGAAGGUUGCGCUUGAGGUUUUGAAAUCAUUAUUUAAGCCACAAUGUUAUACAUCAUAAGUUAUUUUUACCUAUGCAUAGCAUUGUGUCUUAUAUAAUGAUUUCAAAACUUUAAGCGCAACCUUUAUUUUGGAAGAAUCAUAUGAAUGAUUUUGAGACCAAGAUUCAAAUAAUUCUUCUACAUCAGAAUUAGUGCAACUUGGUGAAUUAUCACAAUCCUAGUUCGAAAAACAAAUGCUCAGUGUGGUUUUGGAAAACACUGAAGUUGUGUUCAAUUGAUCUUUGAGAUUUAUAUCAGUGUACUACUUGUCAUCGUCGGUAAAAAAACAUUCACAAAAGCACUUUGUUACAAAAAAUUGAUCAAAAAUUGAAACAACGACAUUUACUUGAGGAUUCUGUCCAGAAACAAGGUGAAAGGAAAUGUAGAGUAGAUCAUGAUUGAGGGAAUACAACUAUACUUUGCUAAUAAAUGUGAUAAAUGAGUAUGGUGAGUUUAAUUAAUCACAACUUACUCACUUAUUUAAACGCAAUCUACUAUGUACAUGUCUCGUUUUCAUAUCCAACUUCUUAAAUCAAAAAAAAUCAUCGAUGGUAUUGACCUCAAUUAGUCCCCACCCAAACUUGAUGCAAUGGAGGAGACGAGACCAAGGAGAAAAAGAUUCACAACAAGUAGAAGAAUCCAAAGGUGUAAUUUUCCUAGAGGUUCAAUUCGACAACUUGAAGUGCUAACAAGGAGGAUUGUGCGCUUAUGCUUAAUUUGAUAUUAAGGGUUAACGUGAGAUAUUCGAUGUGUGGUUUAACAACUACCCUCCAAAAGAUGCAUAAGAAUACAAUAUUAAGAGACAAGCAAUCUUAUAACUCUCUUGACAAUGAGGAAUAUUGUCUCAGAGUGAUCGUAACUUGAGCCGAGUCGAAAGACUAAGAAUCCAACGACUCACAUGGUACUGAGCAUUGAGAGGGGAUAAAUACACUCUCAAUUUGAACGUACGACCAACCAGGGUGACUUGUCACUAUGCUUGAUUGAUUAUGUCACUAUUCAUCAAUAGUAACUAACCCUAACCAGCCUUAAACUCACUUAGACCACCUCUGCAGCAGGCCAGCCCAUGAUUCACAAUCACUUCAGCCUUAAACAUUGAGCUAAACCUCGGAUAAUGUUAGCUUACUCCUCUUCAACUCUAGCAUUUGGAUACAAAGAACGACUAUCUCAUUGGAUCUUCUGUUGAUGCUUAAAGGUUUGGCUAUAGAUUGGGAUAGGGACUGAUAGCCAUACUCUAAGAGCAUCUACAAUGCUAGUUCUUAGUUCUUAUCAUUAUUUAUGUGGGCCCGUACUGCCUCAUGUGCUUAAGCAACUCUUUGCAAAUUUUGCUCCAACCAUGAGUUCUUAAUUCUUAGUUCUUAACACUAUUCAUCCGAUCUCACAAUACCAUUAUAUUAAUAUUUUUUAUUUCUAUAUACUUUUGAUUUAAAUUUAAAUGCUAAAUCAAUACUUAAAUUAAAUGAAUGAGACAAAAAAAAAUAUUUUUUUAUGCUAAGAACUCAAAAAGUAAAUCAUCUUAGAGCAUUUCCAAUGCAAGAUUCUUAGUUCUUAUUUUUGAGUUAAGAACUAAGAACUGAGUUCUUAACCACUGGAGCGCAUGACGUGGAGUUCUUAGUUCUUAAAAAUAAGAACUAGGUUCUUAUAUAAGAGCAUCUCCAAUGCAAGGUUCUUAGUUCUUAUUUUUGAGUUAAGAACUAAGAACUGGGUUCUUAACCAUUGGAGGAGAUGACGUGGAGUUCUUAGUUCUUAAAAAUAAGAACUAGGUUCUUAUAUAAGAUGUUUUACUUUUUGAGUUCUUAGCAUGAAAAGUUAAUUUUUCUCUCUCAUUCAUCAAUUCAUUUAAUUUAGAUAUUGAAUUAGCAUUUAAAUUUAAAUCAAAAUUAUAUGAAAGUAAAAAAUAUUACUACUAUAAUGAUAUUGUGGGACCAAAUGAAUAGUGCUAAGAACUAAGAACUAAGAACUAAGAACUCAUGGUUGGAGCAAAAUGUGCAUAGAGUUGCUUAAGCACAUGUGGCAGUACGGGCCCACAUGAAUAGUGCUAAGAACUAAGAAAUAAGAACUAGCAUUGGAGAUGCUCUAAGAAGUUUUACUUUUUGAGUUCUUAGCAUAAAAAUUAAUUUUUUUUCUCUCAUUCAUUUAAUUUAAGUAUUGAAUUAGCAUUUAAAUUUAAAUCAAAAUUAUAUGAAAAUAAAAAAUAUUAAUAUAAUGGUAUUGUGGGACCAGAUGAAUAGUGCUAAGAACUAAAAACUCAUGGUUGGAGCAAAAUCUGCAAAAAGUUGCUUGUUGAAAGAUUUUUUACCACUCUACGUUUGAAUCUCUCAAGACUCAAUUGUAGUAUAGUAAAGGGUUUUGUCGUAUCCACAGGGAGGUGUAAUACUUAUGUCGUUCAAUAGCUAACAAACUCAAAUGAUGGUUAACAGAGAUAUUAGGGGUUUGUUUAAGAACAUGAAAAUAUAAAGAAAGCAGAUAAAGUAGUUGGAUUCACCAAGGUAGAUAGUUUUGCUGGGAUUAGAGUUUCGUUGUUUGACCUCUACGUAUUCUAUUGAUUCACAUACAAAUAUCGUUCUAUGCAAUUGAUUCCUUUCACCAUUUCUUAUCUUACUACCCAGUCCCCCGGUGUAGAAGAUUAUCAACUCCCUAUAUUAACCUUCAAUCCCUUGAUCGAUUAACAAUAGUGAGUAGCAUUAAGCAUGGAUGAUCUAACCCUAUCCCUAGACCUUAGAAUCAUUAGAUGAUUUUACCUAAUUCAAAUUUAAAUAGUUAGUUCUCACCAUCCUAUUAAAUCUAAAUUCAUGUUCUAGGUGAUCAAUCCAAAACAAGCAUGAAGCACAAGGUAAAAAUCAUUGAAUCAUGGAAAAGAAACAUAUGAUUAAUUCUAGUUCAGACUCAAGAUCACGUGAGUUCCCUACACAAGUUUGAAUCAAUCAAAAUACCCAAGGGGAUCAACCUAAGAUAUAACAUGAAGCAAAAGAGAAAACCAUUGAUUCUUUAGCAUAGAAACAAGAAAUUUGCAUGAAAGGAAAUCAAAUAGAUUACAUGAGCAUCAAAACAACUAGUUCUAAUCCCAACAAAUGAGAAAUUAGCUAUCCACUUCCAUGGAUAGCUUUACAAUGAUAAAAGAGAAGAAGAGCGAUGAAAAACCGACUCGUGACGGUUCCCUGGCGAUGAAAUCAGCUCCAAAGCUUUCUCUCUAGUCUCCUAGGUCACCCUUGAUGAUCUCCUUUGAGUUCUCCCUUUCCCCAAGUGAUGGGUUUGUGUAUUUAUCUCUGAUUUUCGUGAACUCCCUGUUUUGUGUUGAACUUUGAGUUUUAUAGCAUUGCAGAUCUGUUACAGGGUGCUUAGCACUCCACUUUAGGUGCUUAGCGCCCUGUUUCUUCAUGCUGAAGGAUUCCCCACCGUCAGAUGAUGCUUAGCAUUCCAUUUUAAACGCUUAGCACUCUGUUACUUCAUGCUGAAGGAGUGUCCAUUGCCAGAUGAUGCUUAGUACCCUUUGGCUGAUGCUUAGCACCUUUGGACCAAAAAAACUUGAAAACCCUCAUUACCUCACCAAAUCUUGCAUAUUUCUUUGGAUAUUCAUCCCUACAACAAAACCCAAAGAUUCAUCAUGAUUUAGAAUAUAUUUAAAGCAUAAUACUAGUAAAAUCUAAAUAUUUACAAACAUAUGAAAAUGGGGAUAUUUGAAUGAUAAUUCACAUGUUUAGAACAAAUAAGUGUCAAUUAUAAUAUGAUAAUUUAAGUAAAUUUGGCACUUAUCAACUCCCCCCAACUUAGCACUUUGUUUGUCCUCAAACAAAAGGUCAAGACUGUGAUCAAACAAGCAUGACUGAAACAUUUUCAAAGUUCAAAUUGCAAGAUUUCACACAUAUUGUAUGAAUGAUCCAAAAUAGAAACAUGAUACCCACAAGAGAAUGCAUAACAUUGAUACAAUUUCUUAUUCAACCUGGAACUCAAUAGGCAUACAGUCAAUUACUUUUGAUCAGGGAACACUCAAUCAAUCCAAGAUAUGGCAUGCAAAUCAGGCAAGGUCAGUGUUUCGCUCAUGUACAUCACUGAAUCACAUAAGUCAAGAUUGUUACCUGUCUCCACAAUCAUCAAAACUACAUGUGCAAUCAAGGAUCACUAAGGUCUUUACAAGGUUGUAAUGAGGCUAGGCUUCAAAGAGUUUGGUUUUUCAAGAUAUGCAAAGAAACUCAACAAGCUUAGAGAGCAAUCACAGCUUACUUUCAUGACAUUCACUGCCCUCAACUUGAUUUAAACCAA
Long non-coding RNA from Lotus japonicus, 5182 nucleotides. RefSeq lists it as uncharacterized. The transcript is spliced from 3 exons. The record is from RefSeq and is a predicted model, not a curated record. Lineage: Eukaryota; Viridiplantae; Streptophyta; Magnoliopsida; Fabales; Fabaceae.